Molecule: ribosomal RNA, 586 nt
Filed under: Bacillus sp. NC401
Lineage: Bacteria; Bacillati; Bacillota; Bacilli; Caryophanales; Bacillaceae
Description: bacterial SSU rRNA
Rfam family: Bacterial small subunit ribosomal RNA
Source: RNAcentral
CUCUACGGGAGGCAGCAGUAGGGAAUCUUCCGCAAUGGACGAAAGUCUGACGGAGCAACGCCGCGUGAGUGAUGAAGGUUUUCGGAUCGUAAAACUCUGUUGUUAGGGAAGAACAAGUGCCGGAGUAACUGCCGGUACCUUGACGGUACCUAACCAGAAAGCCACGGCUAACUACGUGCCAGCAGCCGCGGUAAUACGUAGGUGGCAAGCGUUGUCCGGAAUUAUUGGGCGUAAAGCGCGCGCAGGCGGUUCCUUAAGUCUGAUGUGAAAGCCCACGGCUCAACCGUGGAGGGUCAUUGGAAACUGGGGAACUUGAGUGCAGAAGAGGAGAGUGGAAUUCCACGUGUAGCGGUGAAAUGCGUAGAGAUGUGGAGGAACACCAGUGGCGAAGGCGACUCUCUGGUCUGUAACUGACGCUGAGGCGCGAAAGCGUGGGGAGCAAACAGGAUUAGAUACCCUGGUAGUCCACGCCGUAAACGAUGAGUGCUAAGUGUUAGAGGGUUUCCGCCCUUUAGUGCUGCAGCAAACGCAUUAAGCACUCCGCCUGGGGAGUACGGCCGCAAGGUGGAAACUCAAAGGAAUUGAC